CAAGACGUAGCUUAACCAAAGCACUCAGCUUACACCUGAGAGAUGUCUGCUACUACCAGAUCGUCUUGA
This 69-nucleotide transfer RNA is filed under the name Hylia prasina (green hylia). RNAcentral describes it as "tRNA-Val". The record is from RNAcentral. Lineage: Eukaryota; Metazoa; Chordata; Aves; Passeriformes; Sylviidae.